RNAcentral lists this long non-coding RNA (1837 nucleotides) under Homo sapiens (human). RNAcentral describes it as "HSALNT0147669". The record is from RNAcentral. Lineage: Eukaryota; Metazoa; Chordata; Mammalia; Primates; Hominidae.
GCAAAAGGGAAAGUUUUCCCAUGGGCCAACGUGGAUAUGUUUCUGUAAUAGUCUGCUCAGCCUUCUACAACAAGAUGUCGCAGACUGGGUGACUUAAACCAGGGAUCCUCAAACCCUGGCAAUGGAUCGGUACGGGUCAGUGGCCUGUUAGGAAUCAGGCCACGUAGCAGGAGUAUGAAUAUCUCUGAUGAAAUGAGACAAUGUCCAAGGGAAGCUGGUAUCUUCAAGAAGGUACUCAUGAUAAGAAGAGUGAGGACGCACACCUUUAACUUAAUAUGCAGCAGAGACAAGACUUUUCUUCAAACCCAAGUGCUCUAGCACCAUGCAUAUUUUGAAAAUAGUGACUAAGCACAUAAAAGUAAAAGAAAAAAUUGCAUUCAUGGACUCCUACUCUAAUGGAUGUAAGAGGUGACUCUAUCUAAAAUAACACUGGGAGAGAGGGCUCUUUCUGCUUCUUCUUUAAAUAUUGAGCAGCAAUGUUAAUGUUCCUUCAAAAUUUCUACAGCAAAAAAAAAAAAAGUGGCAGCAUAAAGUUGAGCAAACCUUAAAUUAGCCAGAGCAGCAGCAGUAGUGGCAGUCUCCCUCCAUAAGGUAUUGGCUAAGGAUUGUCCUUUGCAUAUGUCAGACACUGAAGAACUCCCAGCUUAGAGUGACAGGAGGGUCUCUGCAUCCAGAAGACGUACUUGAGACCCAGAACAAGCCACAUGGAACAAUGAGGAUUUGCUGUGAGCAUGACCAGGCUGUGGAGAACCAGCAGUGGUAGCUGAGAAGGUAGUAGCUGCAACAGCAUCAGAGGGUAAGGCAUGCCCUCUGAUACUCCAGGCUGUACCUGCCUUAAGCUUCAGCAGGGUCUGGAGGGUCUCUGCAUCCAGAACAUAUACAUGAGACCCAGAACAAGCCACAUGGAACAAUGAGGAUUUGCCUUGAGUAUGACCAGGCUGUGGAGAACCAGCAGUGAUAGUUGAGAGGGUAGUAGCUACAACAGCAUCAGAGGGCCAGGCACGCCCUCUGAUACUCCAGCCUGUAUCUGCCUUAAGCUUCAGCAGCAACACUCUAUCUUGGUAGCAUGUGAUCAGCUUUCAGAUGGUAGUGGCCGAAUCUCUGAGUCCACAGUGUACAGGCUUGAAUUUGACAACAGCUGGACAAGCACUCUGUCUAGGUCUAUUGUGGCCAAAAAAAAAAAAAAAAAAACGAAAGAAAAAGGAAGAAAGAGAAAAAAGGAAGGGAGGGAGGAAGAAAGACAGGCCAGCUCUUCAGGAUAAUGACAGAAGGAAGAACUCUGAGGUUUUCCUGUAAUGGAAAAAGUGCGAGUAAUAGCCAUAACCUUAUCAUUUUCUCAGACAGGAACACCAUAGACUACACAGUUGUGCAGGUUUUGCAGAUAAGAAUAAUCCCCAUUGAUUUGUGCAAUAUGUCAGCCAAAUGCUGAUUUGUGAAGCUAAUUAUAUUGGUUAUAAUCUAGAUGUAGAAAGAGAAAACAUUGAGUAUUCUAUAAUCACAUAAGUAGGAAUUAACAUAUUUUGAUUCAGCCUAAUUUACUAUUUGCCUAUCUGAUUCUCUGGUUUAGCAGAAGUUAACCAAGAAAACAGGAAGCCUGACUUGGGCCAGGUGACUUAUAUUGAAAUAGAGAAGACACUCAGUGAAAUCAUAUAACAUAAUUGCACUUGUUUUGCUACCUUGAAGGAUAAGUUCCAAAGAACUGUCCUAUCUGGUUGGAUGGUCAGUGCUUGUCAGUCUGGGUAAGUUCUCUGUGAAGAUAUUAUUAUUUUACAAAUGAACCCAUAUUUACAUUCUUACUUUUAUAAGCUAUUAAUUCUUGUACAUGUAAUAAUAUUUU